Molecule: ribosomal RNA, 468 nt
Filed under: uncultured bacterium
Lineage: Bacteria
Description: partial 16S ribosomal RNA
Rfam family: Bacterial small subunit ribosomal RNA
Source: RNAcentral
GACGAACGCUGGCGGCGUGCUUAACACAUGCAAGUCGAACGGAAAGGCCCUGCUUUUGUGGGGUGCUCGAGUGGCGAACGGGUGAGUAACACGUGAGUAACCUGCCCUUGACUUUGGGAUAACUUCAGGAAACUGGGGCUAAUACCGGAUAGGAGCUCCUGCUGCAUGGUGGGGGUUGGAAAGUUUCGGCGGUUGGGGAUGGACUCGCGGCUUAUCAGCUUGUUGGUUGGGUAGUGGCUUACCAAGGCUUUGACGGGUAGCCGGCCUGAGAGGGUGACCGGCCACAUGGGGACUGAGAGACGGCCCAGACUCCUACGGGAGGCAGCAGUGGGGAAUAUUGCACAAUGGGCGGAAGCGUGAUGCAGAAACGCCGCGUGCGGGAUGACGGCCUUCGGGUUGUAAACCGCUUUCGCCUGUGACGAAGAGUGAGUGACGGUAAUGGGUAAAGAAGCACCGGCUAACUACGUG